UAUCGUGCAUAGGUGUGCCUCCCCUUCCUCUCGCUCACCCCAAACCAUCCUUCCCUAAUCUCGAAUACUGUAGUAGGUCCUGCGGCGGCACUCGUUUGCACCGGCGGAAUUUGGAAUUGAAGAUGCUGGGCUUGAGUUCCUGCUCGAUGCUGUCGAUAGCUUUCAGGUUCCCACAGUGGGAGGAGUUUUGCUGGGUCUGGGUGCGGCCAGCAGAUCGGCUGCGCUGGUCCAAAGAGGACGCAGGUGGGGGUUAGCCGGCGACCAGAUGCAUCUCCGACUCCGACCCGGUUGGCACAAUCAACCGACAGGGUCAACCCGGAGGCCCCUGGUUGGACAAAAAGGUUACGCCUCUGCAAUGCAUCACCGGACCGGACACCAUGUCCUUCUAGGAUGAUUGCACUGGAGCAAUGGAUUCAAAAGUACGCAGAGGAACCUACAAAAAGCGAAAUACGGCCCUCACUCGGACUGCAAACAUGGGAAAAAUUAUGCAUUGAAAAACUAAAGCUUAAUUAGGAAUGAACUAGAACUGAUAAGUGUGUUCAAUGGCUGACCAGAACAGAUCUAUGGAGGUGGCAAUAAACAAAGUUUAUCCGGACAGUGUGCACCGGUGGUGCAAAUGGCAUGUACUGAAGAAGGUAAAGGAGAGCUUGGUCCCCUGUACACGAAGAAAGCGAGUUCCAAGCUGAAUUCUGUAAGGUGGUAAACCACAUGUUAAAUGAAGAUGAGUUUGAGACGGCAUGGGGUAUGCUGCUUGGUAAGUACUCCAUCCGUCCGGAAAUACUUGUCCAACGACAAGUAUUUCCGGACGGAGGGAGUACAACUUGAGGAAGCACCGGUACAUGACCCAGAUCUACGAAAUAAGCAGAAAAUGGUCAAAAGCAUACUUCAAGGAUUUUUUUUUGCGCCAAGAUGACAAGCAAACAAUGCAGCAAGAGGGUGAACCGCAUGUUGAAGAAGUACAUGCCUCUUGCUAGCCCGAUGCACGCCUUUGUGAGGCAGUACAUGAGGUUGCAGUUUGACCGUGAGCGUGAGGAAAGCUACGAGGAUAAGAGGACGAUGAUCUUAAGUCCAAUACGUUUCUUUGCCUAGUUUUAGUGCCAACCACCAUGAUCACCUACCCGACGCACCGCCACGUCUUGUUACUCUUGUAUUUCUCUGGUUUGCAUCUUUUAAAAAUGAGUUCUGUUUUGACAGGGUGGAGUUGUUAGGAGAACGAAUUUGGCAAUUGAGCGACACGCAAGCAAGAUUUAUACGAGGGCUGUGUUUAGGAGUUCAGUCAGCUACUAACUAAAAGCACGGCAUAAAAUGUCGCGGCGGUGGAGAAGAUGAUGAAGUAUGUCACAGCGCACAACAAAGAGGCGAAGAGGGAAAAAAUGGAACAGAGUUGUGUACGAGGUUACAGUAAACGAGGACAAGUUGGGAGUUUAAGUGCGUGUGUGGACAAUUUGAGCACACCAGAAUGUUAUGAUGCCACGUCUUGAGGUCAUUGCUGUACUUCAUUUGAAGGAGAUUCUUUUGAAGCUUAUUGUGAAGCUGUGGACCAAGGACGCGAGAGACAUUCUGCCCCAGCACCUGACUCAAUACCAGAAGGACCACUCAGUUAACAUGUUUUCAUUUGCAAGCAUUCAACACCAUACAUGAAAGCUAUGGAAGUCGUCAGGAUAGGAGAUGCAAGUGCAGAAUCAUUCGAGCACAUGUUAGCUGCUCUAUAUGCUUUGCUAUUGAUGGCCACAAGCGAACAACCUGUCUUGAACAAGGGGAUGCACCCAAGAAACCAUGAAAUCCGGGGAAAUGCAAGAGAACCAUGGCAUAGAAUGUCACCGCCGGAACACCGGUAUUGCUGAAAAUUUUGUUGUGAUUGGUAAGUUUGAAUUCUGUAUUCUUGUUUGCUGAGGAUUUUCUAGUGUGUUUCGGUGAGAAUUGCUCCCUGCUUGUUCCUCCAUUUUUCUGGAUGUUGGACACCCUGUAUGAGUGAGUACAAAUAUGUUAUU
Triticum aestivum (bread wheat) is the source of this 1991-nucleotide long non-coding RNA. RefSeq lists it as uncharacterized. The record is from RefSeq and is a predicted model, not a curated record. The transcript is spliced from 4 exons. NCBI's taxonomy places the organism in Eukaryota, Viridiplantae, Streptophyta, Magnoliopsida, Poales, Poaceae.